CUUCAACGAGCCGAUCCACACCGGGCGUUCGGCGGGGCGCCCCUGUCCGUACGUCGCGAGCAGCGCCUGGGCCUC
Streptomyces uncialis is the source of this 75-nucleotide non-coding RNA. It matches the Rfam family "ASpks TB sRNA". NCBI's taxonomy places the organism in Bacteria, Bacillati, Actinomycetota, Actinomycetes, Kitasatosporales, Streptomycetaceae. The record is from Rfam.